AUUUAGUGAUUUAAAAACAAAUUAAGUAUCUAAAACGUUCAUUUGAAGUGAAAAUUUGACCAUUUGAAUAUAAUAAAAAAUUUAAUAAAAUAAACUAUUUUCUUGUAAAAUAAUUUUUUAUAAAGCUAUCGGUAAAUAAUUCUUAUAGUGUAAAAUUUAAUUAUAUUCAUAUCUACUAUAAAGCAAAUAACCAAAGCAUAAAAUUACUUUUACAGUGACACGUGGGCCCACAUCUAACCAAAACGUAUCAAAAGUUGAAAACCUACAGCUUUUGCCGAUUCAAGUCCAAAUGAAGGUCCUUGUCAAAGUCAACUAACUAUGGAAUUCUCUGAGCCUGAAAUGUGAGGAAAUGAGGGUGGUGAGAUUAUGAAAUCCUAAUGAGUAAACAGACACCAUCUAAACUAUCUAAAGACGAGUAAAUGGAGACAAAUUAAAAUAAGUCAUCAUAUUGUAAUUUCAUUACCUUUUAACUCAUUUCAACCAAAUAAACAAAUAGGCUUAUGAUUUCCUGGAAAGCUUGGCUCAUGCCAAAAAUCAUUCUCAUACUCAAUUAUUAGGGAUACCUUGAUCGAGGGUUAUCCCAACCGAGUCCGGCAAUGCUGUUAAAUGUCUUUACAUCUGAAAUUUUAGCCAUGCCUUGGCGUUGACUGAGUCUCACUCUCACGCGGUAAUCCACGUGAAGUGUACUCAAAUCUUUACCUCAGGAGAUACUUCAUCCAACAUCUCCCUCCGGAGAUAAAUAUAUAAUUGGGUUACCCUGCCCCUCUCAUAGGCAGUCCACGAAAACCCCCACCACUGCAGUGACUAUGGAUUAUUUUAUCUACCACCUGAUUUUUAAAAUAUUUUUCUGCAUGACAUGGCAAUUUAUCGCAACCUAGCCUAUCAAGGCUGAAUACACAAUAUAAAUAAUUCUAACACCAAAAAUCAGUUUAGCCAUUCAUGCUCAUAUAUUGUCAUAAGCCAUUCAAUUUAAAAUCAUAAAUUUACAACACAAGCAGAUAGUCUCCAAGUACAAUCUCUAUAGUUUUACUAGUGUAAUUUACUCACCACCUAUCCACAAUGUACAAUACAUAAUUCACCACAUCAAUGCUUGACCAUUAUAAAAUCAAUUCAGGCUCGGUGUAUAUGCAUGAUAUGAUAUGCAACUUAUCCGACUACCGCUUAAAUACGGUGCUGACCUAAUUCGGCCUAUUACCCGAUUAAAUGACAAUUGUGUCCGAUUUGGCUCCAAAUUGCUCCAUUUCAUUUCUAAUAUUUCAAUUCACUAAAUACAAUUCCAAUAAUCUAAAAUUCAGCCUAACAACCCUCACAAUUCUUCUUGAAAAUUUUGGCCAUUGUGGUGCACUAUCACUAAAAAUUUUCCCAUUCCAUUUUCUCACCAUAAAUCAUCAUUUCAUCAAUUUUUCAACCAAUUCACUUGAUCACAAAAUCAAUUCAUUACUUCUACACUUCACAUAGGGUUCGACCAUUGAAGGUUAAUGGGAAAAAUGGAUUCUUUUCUUGUUGUUUUGUUUCUAAACAUGCUUAACUAACUAAAAACACUAACAUAACUUAGAAUCAAAUGAAUCUAACAUCAUUCUCUCUCCAUACCCAUUUCAAUCAGCCAUGAAUUCAUCAUGAAAACAUGUAAUUUAACGAUGGAAAAUGAGGCAAAAUGCGUGGAAAAGGUAGAUCACAAGUCAAAAUCAAGAAAUUUUACCUUUUGUCACUUGUUUCCUUGAAUUUUCACUAAUUUUCCCUUGAAUUUCUCCACCUAGGGUUUUUGUUUUUCUUUUCUCCCUUUGUUCUUCUUUGCUCUUGGUUUGGCC
Molecule: long non-coding RNA, 1808 nt
Filed under: Theobroma cacao (cacao)
Lineage: Eukaryota; Viridiplantae; Streptophyta; Magnoliopsida; Malvales; Malvaceae
Description: long non-coding RNA (TCAC_LNC000502)
Source: RNAcentral